CCACACAGAGCCGCCGGGAGGGGGCGCUCACCCGAGCUCGAACAGCAGCGCCUCCUUCAGGCCCAGCAGGGCGGUGCCCACCGAGAGGAGGAAGAUGGCGCCGCCAAGGAAGACGUGCUGCGGCCGGUAGCGGCUCCGCAGAGAAAACGACGCGCCGGGGAACAGGAAGAAGCUAAAGCCCAUGAGCCACUGGGAGGAAAGGCGAGGAGCUGCCGGAGGCUGAGCUGCGCUGGAGACUGGAGCCCGAGGACGCCCCAGGUGGGCCGCCGCCCGCGAGGACCAAAGGCCCCGCCACCCCCGCGCGGUGGCCUACGGCCGGAGACGCAGCGGGAACGCUGAGCACGUGGGGAACGUGGGCCGGCGCUCUAGGCCGGUCUCAGCCCCACACUGUGCGCCCCGAGGCGGGGCCUGGGACCAAAUCCACGUGCCUGUCGGCCAGAAGGGCGCCGGAAGGACGCCGGUCAGAGGCAGCGCUCGGCGGGCUGGAGCGCCUUUCGCCUGUGCGCACACCUGGCCCCGGCCCUGUUUGGGCCCUGCUCCCCGCCCCUCCCCAGCGCCGUGGAGCCGCAAGGACUCACCUGCACAAAGAAGAGGACGAAGACCAGAAUGCCACACCAGCUGUGCAGGCUGUACAGCUCCCAGCUGGAGAUGAAAGAAGUCCUGCCCACAGAGAGCUGCAGGGCAGCUGCCCGUAGAAGGAACGUUCUCUGAGCCGCUUCAGUAGAAAGGACCAGGCGACAGGAGCCUCCGAGCUGCCCGUUUCCCUUCCUGCCUCGUCUUCCCUUCCACACCUGGGGCGUGGGCCUGCGCCCCUCCCUCAGGCCAGGCUUCCUGAACUGAGAUCUACAAGCCUCAGGGGCAGCAAAGGAGGCCAGAAAAUCAUCGGCAGCCCGAGCAGAAGCAGCAGCAAUGGUGGCGGGAGCGGCAGCACGCGGGGGACUGACCACAAAGCUCCCAGUGAAGACGGUUCCGUACGAGCCACAGGGCCGAUGAGGCUGCCAGAACAGCCACGGCCCUCGGGCUGCACCAAUAGACUCACGUUAACCGGAUCAGGACCCCUCUGCCCCAGCCCUGAGGUUAGACCAGCCCUGGGGUCUUCCUCAAACACGGGCGUGCGGUUUACCAGGAAUAUGGAAGCGCUGCAAUCCAUUCACGGGAGGAUGAGCCGGUACGGAGAGAUCUGGAAACCCUCUCUUCCCGGGAGUCACUGGAGGUGAUGGAUUUCUCCUGGAGAAAAGGAGACCUGGACAGACAGACCUCUCCUGUCGGAGGAUGGUCGUGCCAAAGAGAGAAAAGACGAAGUGUGUCUCUAGAGAGCAGAGUGAAGAACAGUAAGUAUAAAUGGUGAGGCGGGAGACACAACAGAAGAAGGCAGUUCCUAACAGCGGGAGCAAUCCGGCCCACCAGAGUGGUGAGCUCCCUGUCCCUGGAAACGUCCUGAUGGAAGCAGGAUGAUGUCAGGGAUAUCAUGGCCAUCACUGGCAGGAGACCAGCAUUUCCUAACCUCUCUUCCCCUUCCGAACAUCCCACUGUUCACGAAUCCCAUGUUUGAUAAUAAUGUAUCUAUUUAAUAAAUUGUACUUAU
Molecule: long non-coding RNA, 1585 nt
Organism: Lagenorhynchus albirostris (white-beaked dolphin)
Lineage: Eukaryota; Metazoa; Chordata; Mammalia; Artiodactyla; Delphinidae
Exons: 4
Source: RefSeq, a predicted model, not a curated record